GGUGCUAGUGAUUGUGGCUGACUUUCCGACAGCAUUUUACCUGCAUUGCUCUGUACCCAAACAAAGUUGUUAAAUGUAACGUGAACAAGUAUUCUUACUAAAAUAAGCUUUCGUAUCAAACCCGUCGUCCCGAGUAAUUACUUUGACGUUAGUUAAUCUACAAUUUUGGUGCCGAAACCCGGGAUAUGAGCUGCGACGAAGAAGUGGCUGAAAUGGAGGAGGAACGUCGGCAUGAAGCAGAAAGAAUGAGACGAAAGCGGGGUACCAUUCAAGGCGCAACAACGCGGAUUUUGAAUCAGAUUGACGUGGAAAUAUCCCAGUCAAAUCCGGAUACCGAUCACUUGAGUACAUUGUUGGAAUUGUUAUCAGCUAAGGAGGACAGUUUGUUUGAACUCGAUCGUGGGAUUGAACAGUUAACGCCAAUGGACGGAUUGGAGGCAGAGAUUGCAUGCACGGAGGAUUAUAAAGACGCAUUAUCAUGCUGAAGAGCCGUGCACAAAGAGUGAUAACGAAGAAACAGGACGUCAAUCCACUACCAGCCCGGGACUCAGACUUUGACUCAACGGGAGGUUUGCUGGGGGCCACCAUAGGGAGAGUGAAGCAGCUUUCCAGGGGAAGCCAGACCAAGCUCCUGUGCUACAUGCUGUUCUUCUGCUUCUUGGUCUUCACCAUCCUUUACUGGUUUAUAAAACUGAGGUGAUGUGUUACAGGAGGCCCCGGCUUUUCCCUCCCUGCCUCGUGUUUCCUUUCCCAGUCUGUGCCAUGCGUGCACCUCUGCAUCAGAAGACCAGGAUGAUGACAAUGAGACUGUAAGAAUGUGCUUAAUGUUUGAGAAGACUCCCACCAAAUCAUCAAUGACAAUGUGCAAUAGGGAAUAAUAAAAAAUGUCUUAAUUUUAGACAACCCUGAUGGAAUGAGUAGACACUGCCAUACGUUUGUAAUGUGACACUUUCGUACAGAGUCCCUUAACGAUGAUGCAUAUAAGUUGAUGUACAGGAUGAGUGAUCUAUUGCAUCAACAAAUCUGGCAAGGCUAAGCAGUAACGUGUUACACAGGCAGCCCAAUUCUGAUCUUUUUCCCCCCAAUCACAUUUUUCAGAGCUGAUUAGUGAAAAAAGAUUGGAAUUGGGUUCGCUGUCAGAGGUUGCUUGAUCCAAUGUGAGACUGAUUUAACAUUUGAUCAAUAGUGUCCAACAAUUGAGUUCCACUAUAAACAAACAUCUUGUUUUUGUUUUGAGGAAUAAAUUAGGGUGUGCGCUCACUUCAAACAUUUCCUGUCCCAUCUACAGAGACUGUUCAUCUCCACUGCACACUGUUCUCCCGUUAACUGAUGUAAAAUGUUUUAUGUAAAUAAACAUGGAUGUUUUGGAUUUGA
Oncorhynchus kisutch (coho salmon) is the source of this 1374-nucleotide long non-coding RNA. RefSeq lists it as uncharacterized. The record is from RefSeq and is a predicted model, not a curated record. The transcript has 2 exons. Lineage: Eukaryota; Metazoa; Chordata; Actinopteri; Salmoniformes; Salmonidae.